GCGGGCGUGGCGGAAUUGGCAGACGCAGCGGACUUAAAAUCCGCUUCUGGCAACAGAGUGCCGGUUCGAGACCGGCCGCCCGCACCA
This 87-nucleotide transfer RNA is filed under the name Neoroseomonas alkaliterrae. Its description in RNAcentral is "tRNA-Leu". It matches the Rfam family "tRNA". From Rfam's summary of the family: Transfer RNA (tRNA) molecules are approximately 80 nucleotides in length. Their secondary structure includes four short double-helical elements and three loops (D, anti-codon, and T loops). The record is from RNAcentral. Lineage: Bacteria; Pseudomonadati; Pseudomonadota; Alphaproteobacteria; Acetobacterales; Acetobacteraceae.